This 193-nucleotide ribosomal RNA is filed under the name uncultured bacterium. RNAcentral describes it as "partial 16S ribosomal RNA". It matches the Rfam family "Bacterial small subunit ribosomal RNA", at positions 338 to 524 of the family's 1533-position model. The record is from RNAcentral.
CCUACGGGAGGCAGCAGUAGGGAAUCUUCCGCAAUGGACGCAAGUCUGACGGAGCAACGCCGCGUGAGUGACGAAGGUUUUCGGAUCGCAAAACUCUGUUGUGAGGGAAGAACACGUACCAACUAACUAUUGGUACCUUGACGGUACCUCACCAGAAAGCCACGGCUAACUACGUGCCAGCAGCCGCGGUAAU